GACGAACGCUGGCGGCGUGCUUAACACAUGCAAGUCGAACGGAAAGGCCCUGCUUUUGUGGGGUGCUCGAGUGGCGAACGGGUGAGUAACACGUGAGUAACCUGCCCUUGACUUUGGGAUAACUUCAGGAAACUGGGGCUAAUACCGGAUAGGAGCUCCUGCUGCAUGGUGGGGGUUGGAAAGUUUCGGCGGUUGGGGAUGGACUCGCGGCUUAUCAGCUUGUUGGUGGGGUAGUGGCUUACCAAGGCUUUGACGGGUAGCCGGCCUGAGAGGGUGACCGGCCACAUUGGGACUGAGAUACGGCCCAGACUCCUACGGGAGGCAGCAGGGGGGAAUAUUGCACAAUGGGCGGAAGCCUGAUGCAGCAACGCCGCGUGCGGGAGGACGGCCUUCGGGUGGUAAACCGCUUUCGCCUGUGACGAAGCGUGAGGGACGGGAAUGGGUAAAGAAGCACCGGCAAACUACGU
RNAcentral lists this ribosomal RNA (467 nucleotides) under uncultured bacterium. RNAcentral's name for it is "partial 16S ribosomal RNA". It matches the Rfam family "Bacterial small subunit ribosomal RNA", at positions 28 to 506 of the family's 1533-position model. The record is from RNAcentral.